This 3813-nucleotide unclassified non-coding RNA is filed under the name Homarus americanus (American lobster). Its description in RNAcentral is "uncharacterized LOC121875982, transcript variant X4". The record is from RNAcentral. Lineage: Eukaryota; Metazoa; Arthropoda; Malacostraca; Decapoda; Nephropidae.
CUCGAGCAGUGACCGAGGGAGGGUGCGCCAGCCUCCUCUCACACCCGACACUUACCCUCGGUGACAACCUUGAGUGAAAACCACAGUGAUCGGAAAUAUCAUGUAAAUAAUGAACUAGUGUAUUGUGAUAAACCAAAGACACUGUUAUUACCAAAGAACGCCAAGUAAACAUAACCCUAAGAAAAGCAAUAUUAAUGUAUAAGUUGGGUGAGAGCGCCAAGGGGUGCUAGCCGGAGCCCAGAGUGUUGUUGUGGUGCCCCAGCCUAGUGCUGGUCCUCCCACACUAGAGGAUGGGAGGCAAGUGCUGCCUCCUGUGUAAUGCUCCCUACGGGGCCUACCGGGGAUACCCAGAUGUCAAAGUGGGAGAAAGUCUACCUCGCCGACCAGAUCCCAACGCCCCUAACUCCUCUGGUCAACAGGGAUCUGCACACACCCACACCCACCCACAUGCCCAUCACAAGUACCAGCAUCACCCACAUGCCCACCAUCAGAACUACCAACACCACCCUCAUCCUCACUCACAGAACCAAUACCACCAUUAUAAGAGUGACGACUUACACGGCAAAUAUCAAAUAUAUCCUGGGCAGAAUUACCAAAGUAAUGGGCCUUACACUAAUUAUCACGGGAGUUCUAACUACCCUCACAACUACCCGGAGGAUAAUGUUAACUAUCCUAAUAACUUUAAACAAGCUCACAACCGGCCUCCAAAUUACCAGGAGAGCCAGCAGACACUCACAGCCAACCCUAACACCCUCAAUGGUCACCGUGCCAGAAUGAACGGCACCUACGGACCCAGCCACUAUGACUUCCAGGACUACCAUAACUUCAAGAACCACCAACAGGACUACAAGAACCAUCAGCAGGAAUACAAAACGCAGGAUUAUGGUACUUAUGGCACUCAUGCUCGUCACCACGACCAAAGACUCAAUGGUCGAGUACCCAAUGACAUCCACCAACAACAGUAUUCAGACUCUGAGCUCACCGUUUCUAAACACCAGCAGUCAGUAGCAGCAACGACAGCGGCUGCGGUACAAGAGAGCGUAGAGGUGCGGGGGCUGCAGGGAGUAAGCGCAGGGGAGCUGCUGGGCAAGACUCAUGAGGAGUUGGUCUUGUUGCUCAUUCAGCUACGGCGACAUCACUCGGCGCUACAGUCAGCCAGACACCAUGCUCGCCUUGAAAGAGACUCCCAGGCUCGUCUUGCACAACUGGAUGGGGAGCACCGUGAGGAACACCUGCGCCGCCUCGCUAGCCUCAAUCACCACCUCCAUGACCUAGACAAGCAGCAGUAUGAAAUGGGUAAACCAUUGAUCAACCUGGUGGACAAUAUGGUCAAACUUGGAUCUCUAUAUCGAGGAGGAGACUCCAAACUUGUUGCCCAACAUGAUCCUAGGCGGACUCGUUCAUACUGUCCGGCAAAUGGCUAUGAUUCACUUCAGUUCUCAAGGAGAAUACAAGAAAGGAGAAUAGUAGCAGAAGAUUUACAACUGCAGGAGUAUGAGUUGGCGGCAGCAGACCAGGAUGAUCUUGAGGGAAAAGUGAUGCAAUUGUAUAAGUUGGACAAGAACCUACAUCAAGAAUCACUGACCAUUCAGAGCUUGCAGAGAGAGAAGGAGAUGCUGGAGCGCACCCUAGUUAAUCUCCACUCCAAGUCUCAUGGAGCAAAUGAAGGACCAGUAGAGCUUGAACGCAGAAAGAAACAGAGAAGACAUUUGGAACAUGAGCUUUCCAAACUUCGUGCUCACCUUGCUGUUUCUGCAAGGAAACUAGAAGACACCGCAGCUGAGAAUAGUCGCCUUGAACAUGAAAUGAUGAUGCUACGCCAAAAGAUACAGAUGACGAUGGCCCGUAAUUCUCAAAGAGAGUCUGGUGGCACUUCUGAAACUCGUCAUAUUGAAGCAGAAAUGGUCCGAGUUCAAACACUUCUAGAAGAUCUUCAGAGGCGAAGAAUUGAGCUUAGUCAUCAGAUUCAGAAACUGACAUCAGCUAACCCAGGCAUAGAAAUCAGACCAUCACCAACAGGUGUUGUUGGGGCCGCUCCUGUACCUGCAAGACGGAGAACUCACAGCACCUGGCUCGAAACUGAUUUGGAUGCAAUGAUUACUAGGGAUAGAGGGAUGGAUCCCCCUGAAGAUAGCAGAAGAGGCAAUCCUCCAGUUUAUGUUAAUGCUUCUGGAUAUGUAGAAGAGGUUAGUCCUAAUGAUUACCCUGAGAGUCCUGACUUCAUUGAUUCUGAUUACCCACCCCCUCCACCACCUCCUGAACACAUGCGCUCCUACGGUCAUCAUCUCGAUGGCCAGACAUCACUUGUAGAGCACUAUCAGACUGAUCUUAGGUAUCUUCAUUCUGAGUCAUCUUUAGGAGAAUCAAAUCGAAGACAGCAUUUACUGAAUGGAGAUCUAAGUAUGAGUGCCAUUACUGGCCUGGACCGCGAUGCUGCAGAUAAUAAACCUGACGGAGAAGAGCAACAACAGUCUGCAGGUCAUCUGGAUAUCAAUGAUGCAGAUGACAGAAUGAAGAGAUAUUAUGGUAUUCUUCCAAAAGAGAAGCCUUUAGAGAUCAAGACUGUACGAAUAGUUAAGAGAGAGUCCACCGAACGAAGGAAAGAUCGCAGUACAGGCGGGAAGCGUGUUACCAUUGGAGACUCCAGCUUAACCCAUUUACUGGAGGAUGACAUUGAAAGUGAUGGAAUGUCUGAUACUGAAAAUGAACCUCCAAUUCCUUCGUUUGCAUCAAGGUCUGCUUCAUUACCUCGUAACUAUGGCCGUAAUGGUCCAGGGGAGAGAGUCAGUAUGAUGGCAGCUAUGAUGCGAACUAGUGUUGGAAAUGCUGGAACAAUGACUCGCCCGAGCAAUUUGGCUCUAAAGAAAUCAGCAGGAUGGAAAUCUAAGACUGAGAACCUCAAAGACCGGCCAUUGAGUGCACAUGAACAGCUUUUUGGUUUCGCUCGGGAAACUGAGCAAACUCCCCCUGCUUCCCCUUCCAAGUCGGAUCCUCCCUCCCCAGUGUUCAAAAGUGCUGCAGCACAGGAAAUUAUCAAGGAAAUGGCCUCUGAGGCAGAGAAACAUCGCCGUACAGUACCAAAAGAGAAGAGACGUCAUUUUACUAUCUCCAGUAGCCGACCAAUAACAUUAGAAGCAAGAGAUGCAGGUGCAGAGGAGGGCGCCAGAUCAAGGGACGACUGUGACAUGGUCCGUGCCUUGAGGCCACGUAAUCAUCCUGAUGUUGUCAAAUCAACUCUGAGUACCCGAGAUCUUCGGUUUAAUGAAACAACAAUUGAUUCAGUUCUUGGUGCUCCAAGUAAAAUCUACAUUCCAGAGAGAUAUAUGCCAGAUGAGGAUGAUGAGAAAGAACCAACUGAAGAAGAACGUGCACAUAGAGAACUGAAAGCAGAAUCCAUUCGCAAGAUGCUUUCUGAGACACAAACUACUGUUACAAAGGGUGAAACAGGGGAGGAACAGUCAUCUGAAUUUGAAGCCACUGCCACUUCCUCCUCAGCCUUCAAAGCCAAGGUAGCAGCUGAGAAGAAGGAGCGUGAACACCUUCUGGCCUUGAACCAGAUUCUUGCUCGUCAAGUCAUGGAAAAGAGUCGUGUAGUAGCAGCUCACACCACAGUGGAGCCUCACCUGUAGCUGGCCAUGUAGCAUCAGGUGGGUUGACCUAUGCCAUAAAGCUCACCCAAGACUGAGCUAAAAGCUAAUGCUUUAUACGAGCUCUUACCAUGUUGACCAAGCAACCAAGUUCUUCCGAUGAUGACCUCUCACCUAUGCAGCCACUUCCUCUUGUGCAGCAGCGGGAAAACUACCUCGUCUAGAG